Molecule: non-coding RNA, 70 nt
Organism: Cordylochernes scorpioides
Lineage: Eukaryota; Metazoa; Arthropoda; Arachnida; Pseudoscorpiones; Chernetidae
Source: the annotation of a GenBank genome assembly
UCCAGGGUAGCCUAGUGGACAUGGCAUCUGCCCGGUAAGCGGAACAUUGUGGGUUCGAUUCCGUGUGGAA